UGGUGGGUAGUUUGACUGGGGCGGUCUCCUCCUAAAGAGUAACGGAGGAGCACGAAGGUUGGCUAAUCCUGGUCGGACAUCAGGAGGUUAGUGCAAUGGCAUAAGCCAGCUUGACUGCGAGCGUGACGGCGCGAGCAGGUGCGAAAGCAGGUCAUAGUGAUCCGGUGGUUCUGAAUGGAAGGGCCAUCGCUCAACGGAUAAAAGGUACUCCGGGGAUAACAGGCUGAUACCGCCCAAGAGUUCAUAUCGACGGCGGUGUUUGGCACCUCGAUGUCGGCUCAUCACAUCCUGGGGCUGAAGUAGGUCCCAAGGGUAUGGCUGUUCGCCAUUUAAAGUGGUACGCGAGCUGGGUUUAGAACGUCGUGAGACAGUUCGGUCCCUAUCUGCCGUGGGCGCUGGAGAACUGAGGGGGGCUGCUCCUAGUACGAGAGGACCGGAGUGGACGCAUCACUGGUGUUCGGGUUGUCAUGCC
This 472-nucleotide ribosomal RNA is filed under the name Escherichia coli. RNAcentral describes it as "partial 23S ribosomal RNA". It matches the Rfam family "Bacterial large subunit ribosomal RNA", at positions 2259 to 2730 of the family's 2925-position model. RNAcentral also lists the same sequence under 9 other names. The record is from RNAcentral. Lineage: Bacteria; Pseudomonadati; Pseudomonadota; Gammaproteobacteria; Enterobacterales; Enterobacteriaceae.